RNAcentral lists this ribosomal RNA (497 nucleotides) under uncultured bacterium. RNAcentral describes it as "partial 16S ribosomal RNA". It matches the Rfam family "Bacterial small subunit ribosomal RNA", at positions 28 to 507 of the family's 1533-position model. The record is from RNAcentral.
GAUGAACGCUGGCGGCGUGCCUAAUACAUGCAAGUCGAGCGAACGGACGAGAAGCUUGCUUCUCUGAUGUUAGCGGCGGACGGGUGAGUAACACGUGGAUAACCUACCUAUAAGACUGGGAUAACUUCGGGAAACCGUAGCUAAUACCGGAUAAUAUUUUGAACCGCAUGGUUCAAAAGUGAAAGACGGUCUUGCUGUCACUUAUAGAUGGAUCCGCGCUGCAUUAGCUAGUUGGUAAGGUAACGGCUUACCAAGGCAACGAUGCAUAGCCGACCUGACAGGGUGGUCCGCCACACUAGGACUGGUUCACAGAUCAGUCACCUUCGGUGGGCAGCAGUAAGGAAUUUUUCGAAAUGGGACAAGAGCGUGCAGGACAACGUGGGGGUGAGGAUGAAGGUCCUCUGAUAGGUAAAAACUUUUAUUAGGGAAGAACAUAUGUGUAAGUAACUGUGCACAUCUUGACGGUACCUAAUCAGAAAGCCACGGCUAACUACGUG